UCCUAAGUUAGAAAUCAAAUGAAUGAAAUGAAUAAAAGGAGAAAUACUUACCAGUGGGUUGCCUCCCACUAAGCGCUUGUUUAUAGUCAAUAGCUUGAC
RNAcentral lists this small RNA (99 nucleotides) under Arabidopsis thaliana (thale cress). Its description in RNAcentral is "ATSL090630". Lineage: Eukaryota; Viridiplantae; Streptophyta; Magnoliopsida; Brassicales; Brassicaceae. The record is from RNAcentral.